ACGGUCCUAAGGUAGCGAAAUUCCUUGUCGGGUAAGUUCCGACCUGCACGAAUGGCAUAACGAUGGCCACACUGUCUCCUCCCGAGACUCAGUGAAGUUGAAAUGUUUGUGAUGAUGCAAUCUACCCGCGGCUAGACGGAAAGACCCCAUGAACCUUUACUGCAGCUUUGCAUUGAACUGUGAACCGAUUUGUGUAGGAUAGGUGGGAGGCAGAGAAGAGGCCACGCCAGUGGCCUUGGAGCCGACCUUGAAAUACCACCCUGAUUUGUUUGCGGUUCUAACCACGGACAGUGAUCCUGUCUUGGGACCGUGCAUGGUAGGCAGUUUGACUGGGGCGGUCUCCUCCUAAAGGGUAACGGAGGAGUACGAAGGUACGCUAGGUACGGUCGGAAAUCGUGCUGAUAGUGCAAUGGCAAAAGCGUGCUUGACUGCGAGAGCAACAACUCGAGCAGAUGCGAAAGCAGGUCAUAGUGAUCCGGUGGCUCUGAAUGGAAGGGCCAUCGCUCAACGGAUAAAAGGUACUCUGGGGAUAACAGGCUGAUACCGCCCAAGAGUUCAUAUCGACGGCGGUGUUUGGCACCUCGAUGUCGGCUCAUCGCAUCCUGGGGCUGUAGUCGGUCCCAAGGGUAUGGCUGUUCGCCAUUUAAAGAGGUACGUGAGCUGGGUUUAAAACGUCGUGAGACAGUUUGGUCCCUAUCUGCCGUGGGCGUUGGAAGAUUGACGGGGGCUGCUCCUAGUACGAGAGGACCGGAGUGGACGCACCUCUGGUGUACCGGUUGUCACGCCAGUGGCAUUGCCGGGUAGCUAAGUGCGGAAGAGAUAACCGCUGAAAGCAUCUAAGCGGGAAACUUGCCUGAAGAUGAGUCUUCCCGGAGGUAAAACCUCCCUCAAGAGUCGUCCGAGACCAGGACGUCGAUAGGUCAGGUGUGUAAGCGCUGUGAGGCGUUGAGCUAACUGAUACUAAUUGCUCGUGAGGCUUGAUCCU
This 985-nucleotide ribosomal RNA is filed under the name human gut metagenome. Its description in RNAcentral is "bacterial LSU rRNA". It matches the Rfam family "Bacterial large subunit ribosomal RNA", at positions 1945 to 2925 of the family's 2925-position model. The record is from RNAcentral.